Molecule: small RNA, 30 nt
Filed under: Bombyx mori (domestic silkworm)
Lineage: Eukaryota; Metazoa; Arthropoda; Insecta; Lepidoptera; Bombycidae
Description: ovarian small RNA-37041
Source: RNAcentral
UUCAUAAGUCUGAAGUUCGGCGAUGGCCUU